UGCACCUGUAAUCUCAGCUACUCAGGAGGCGGAGGUGGGAGAAUUGCUUGAACCCGGAAGGCAGAGGUUGCAGUGAGCUGACAUCAUGCCAUUGCACUCCGGCCUGGGCGACAGAGUAAGACUCCAUCUCAAAAAAAAAAAAAAAAAAAAAAAAAAAAUAUAUAUAUAUAUAUAUAUAUAUAUAUAUAUAUAUUGCAAAACUUAUUUAAGAAAAAUUAGAAAGACUGAAAGAUGUAUAUUUUUAAAAAUUGAAUCAAUAACUAAAAAUCUACUCUCCCCCAGAAAAUUUUUAAAAAGGUUUCUAAGGUGAGAUCUACCAAAGCUACCUGAUACAAACUGUUCUAGGAAAUGUAAAACGAGGAAAUACUUCCACAUCAUUUUAUGCAAUUAGUAUAUAAUCUUUACAUCAAAACUGGUGAGAAUAGUACAAGACAAGAAUAUUUUCAACCAGUCUCAUAAACCUGGAUACAAAAACCCUAAAAAUACUUGCAAACUGAAUUACCAAUGUAUAUGAAAAAGCUAUAUCAUGACCAAAUUAUAUUUAUCUCAGGGAUACAAGGAUGGCUUAAUGUUAGAAAGUUUAUUAAAAUUUUUGGUUAAAGAUGGAGGGCUGAAUCUCACAUUAGCUUUUUCUCUCUCUCAAUACCUCACUAAUUUGCUAGUAAAGGGAAUUUAAAAUGGAACAAAUCCACAGAGACAGGAAGAAUGAGUUUGUAUACAGCAACAAUAAAAUUAAGGGGUCUAGAACCAGCUCUGGUUUCAGCUCCAACAUGUAAAAAACUUGGAAAUCAUCAUGCCUGUCCCUACAGUAAGAAGGUAGUGUAAACUAAAAAUAGAUUAUUUUUCCUAGACCCAUCAGAGAAUUGAAGUCACAGGGCAAAUUACUACCCUGAAAUCUGGAGAGACAGGGAGAUCCAAAGAGAUUCAGCACCUGAGAUGUGCUUACCUAGAAUAAAAGCUGGUGACAGCCAUAAGUGGUAGGACCACUUACUUGACUAGUGGUUUUGACAAGUUGCUGGAAACUGAGUGAGGACUAGCAUGAGACUGAGAAAUACCUGAAGGCCACACUUAUAGGAGAAGUUCACACUUUUGAGGGCUUUCCCUGCAAUAACUUCACCAAGUUCUCAUGAUAAGGAUCUGAGAAAAAUCCCCCUGAGGAUCUGGCUGAUGUAGGGGGAAGUGUAGCUAUUGCGUAACCCCUAGAUACUUCUUCAUAACAAAAGUCUAUUCUUGGGUUCCGGGAUCCUUCAUCAUAAAGUAGUACUGAAACUUUAUCCCACCUGGAGAAGGGAUUUCCACUCCGCUCCAGGCUUUCCGUAUCACCUAAAGGGAAAAAAACAGUAAAUAGGGAACAGGCUUAAGGGAAAUAGAUUGGAAAUGCUGCAAUCAGGAAGGGGAGUAGGGAGAUGAGUUAGGCUCCUGAAGGAAGGAUGGAACCAUUUGUGUAGGCUACAACCCCCGAGACCCAGGCACACUCAAAGACUGAUAAUUAAUCAGAAGAUUAUAGACUGAUUCCCUUCCCCCACACCCUACCCAAUCUCUCAUAUCCUGGUACUAAGAUAUUAGGAUUGUGGCACCAUCUUUGUGGAAGACUGGGUUAGGUCUGAAAUACUAUUACUGGUGAAAUGAAUUAUUUCACACAGUUUGUGGACAGAGUAUUUGAUACAAGAAACUUUUUUUUGAGACAGGGUCUCACUUUAUUACCCAGGCUGAAGUGCAGUGGUGCCAUCACAGCUCACUGCAGCUUCGAACUCCUGGGCUUAAGCGAUCCUCCUGCUUCAGCCUCCCAAGUAGCUAGAGCUACAGGCAUGCGCCACCAUGCUCGGCUGAUUUUUGUACUUUUUGUAGAGGUAGGGUUUUGGCAUUUUGCCCAGGCUAGUCUCAAACUCCUGGGCUCAAGUGAUCUGCCCACCUUGGCCUCCCAAAGUGCUGGGAUUAUAGGCACAAGCCACUGUGCCCAGCCUUGAUAUAAGAAACUUAUGUUGAGGAUGUGGACCAGUUUAUAGUAUUUUUCAACAGGUAGCCAGCCCAUCAAAUUAUGAGUGGGAAUUGGAAAAGGACCAGUUCAAUACCUAUGCGUAGAAACUGGGAGAAAAUGACGAAAGAGAAAGGAACAUAAUCAAAGAGCAAAUGGCAAAGUUUACCCAAGGAAACACUGGAAGUAUUAUAAAUAUCAUGAUGGUGUAUAGAUAUCAUACUAUCAUAAUGGGUCAGAGGGCAUAAUGAAGAAAUAUAAGAGCUCAAAGAAGACAAUUAAGAUAAUAUUUUAACCAAGUUUGUAAAUCUCAGAACAAAAUAGAAAAGAAAAAUAAAUUACAAAGCCACAUGAGAAGCAAACAAAUAAACAAACCUCACAGCUAAAAAAAUAGAUACACUGUGAAAAAGCUCAAGAAAAUCACACCAAACAAAAUGGAAGAGAGCAAAUAGCACCGUAAUUAUAGAGAGAACUACAGCCUAUAAGGUAGGUAAAGCUGGUGUGAGAAAUCCUUCAUCUCACCCCAAAUAAAGAAAUCCUUCAUCUCACCCCAAAUAGAAACCCUUCAUCUCACCCCAAAUAAAUAAAUUCUGUAUAAAAUGUAACAGAAAUAAGAUAGGUAUAGCAACAUUCAGUCAAGAAAGGAGAUCAUGAGUACCAGGGACAAAAAGGGAAGGCAAAUUUAGAUCAAUGACCCUGAGCUGAAGCUGAACCACCUAAGGAGGGUAUGGCACUUCGGUAUAUACUAGCAGUAAUAAUGAAAGGGAGCUCUGGGGACCCCGGGGGGGAACCUUUUGGGGGUUCACAAAGUCAAAACUAUUUUCACAAUAAUACCGAGAUUUUAUUUGAAUUUAUUGAUUUCUUUAUUAAGUACAUAGUGCAGUUUUCCUGGGGCUAUGAUAUUACAACAGGUUGAAUAUAGAAGGAGAUAUGAGAAUCCAGCCAGAUUUGUAAAAAUGUAAAACAAUGCAAUUAAAUGUUUUGCAUAUUUGAAUAUAUACUUAUUUUUCACUAAAAGUAUGUUAUUUAUGUAACAUGUAACAUGUUUUCAGUAUUAUUUUAAAUGAAUUAACAAAUUAAUAUUUAAAAAUUUUAUCACUUUUAAGUUCUAUUAUGGCAAAUAUUGAUAGAUAUAACCCACCUAAACAAAAGUUCUUUAGGAUGUUCAAAAUAAUUUAUUUUUAUGUUAAAAUUAACAUAUAGUAAAACUGAGUUUGUUGGCAUGCAGUUUGAAGAAUUUUAGCACUUGCAUAUGUUCAUGUAACCACCACCACAAACAGAAUAAAG
This 3262-nucleotide long non-coding RNA is filed under the name Homo sapiens (human). RNAcentral's name for it is "HSALNT0407548". The record is from RNAcentral. Lineage: Eukaryota; Metazoa; Chordata; Mammalia; Primates; Hominidae.